CGACGGUCGACGACGACAUCAGUGUGCACAGUCUGACCGGUCUGCAGCGGCUCUUCUCCGGUGGCCUGGGGCCGGACGGUGGACCGGCCAUGUCCACCGCCGAGCAGGGUGCCGUGCCCAAGGAGAGGACGCACCAUCGUUCGCGCACCUUCGCUGUGUCGUCUCGCUCGGAGCUGAGCCGCGGCGAGCGGCGCCACGGCGCCCACUGGGACGGCCACGGCGGCCGCGCCCGCGACGGCCACAGAGG
Pollicipes pollicipes is the source of this 247-nucleotide long non-coding RNA. RefSeq lists it as uncharacterized. Lineage: Eukaryota; Metazoa; Arthropoda; Thecostraca; Pollicipedomorpha; Pollicipedidae. The record is from RefSeq and is a predicted model, not a curated record. The transcript is spliced from 3 exons.